GCAGGUAUAGGUUAAGGGUAGACACAAUGCCUUCCAAGCAUUUAGUACUCGUUCGAAUCGAGUUAUCUGCA
Molecule: transfer RNA, 71 nt
Filed under: Pneumocystis oryctolagi
Lineage: Eukaryota; Fungi; Ascomycota; Pneumocystomycetes; Pneumocystales; Pneumocystaceae
Description: tRNA-Gly
Rfam family: tRNA
About the family: Transfer RNA (tRNA) molecules are approximately 80 nucleotides in length. Their secondary structure includes four short double-helical elements and three loops (D, anti-codon, and T loops). Further hydrogen bonds mediate the characteristic L-shaped molecular structure. tRNAs have two regions of fundamental functional importance: the anti-codon, which is responsible for specific mRNA codon recognition, and the 3' end, to which the tRNAs corresponding amino acid is attached (by aminoacyl-tRNA synthetases). tRNAs cope with the degeneracy of the genetic code in two manners: having more than one tRNA (with a specific anti-codon) for a particular amino acid; and 'wobble' base-pairing, i.e. permitting non-standard base-pairing at the 3rd anti-codon position.
Source: RNAcentral